RNAcentral lists this ribosomal RNA (502 nucleotides) under uncultured bacterium. RNAcentral's name for it is "partial 16S ribosomal RNA". It matches the Rfam family "Bacterial small subunit ribosomal RNA", at positions 30 to 523 of the family's 1533-position model. The record is from RNAcentral.
AUUGAACGCUGGCGGCAUGCCUUACACAUGCAAGUCGAACGGCAGCACGGGAGCUUGCUCCUGGUGGCGAGUGGCGAACGGGUGAGUAAUACAUCGGAACGUACCCAGGAGUGGGGGAUAACGUAGCGAAAGUUACGCUAAUACCGCAUAUUCUGUGAGCAGGAAAGCGGGGGAUCGCAAGACCUCGCGCUCUUGGAGCGGCCGAUGUCGGAUUAGCUAGUUGGUGAGGUAAAGGCUCACCGAGGCGACGAUCCGUAGCAGGUCUGAGAGGAUGAUCUGCCACACUGGGACUGAGACACGGCCCAGACUCCUACGGGAGGCAGCAGUGGGGAAUUUUGGACAAUGGGGGCAACCCUGAUCCAGCCACGCCGCGUGAGUGAAGAAGGCCUUCGGGUUGUAAAGCUCUUUCGGCGGGGAAGAAAUGGCAACGGCUAAUAUCCGUUGUUGAUGACGGUACCCGCAUAAGAAGCACCGGCUAACUACGUGCCAGCAGCCGCCGUAA